GAUUCAUGGCUCAGGAUGAACGCUAGCUACAGGCUUAACACAUGCAAGUCGAGGGGAAACGACAUCGAAAGCUUGCUUUUGAUGGGCGUCGACCGGCGCACGGGUGAGUAACGCGUAUCCAACCUGCCCAUCACUUGGGAAUAACCUUGCGAAAGUAAGACUAAUGCCCAAUGAUAUCCCACGAAGGCAUCCGAAUGGGAUUAAGGAUUUAUCGGUGAUGGAUGGGGAUGCGU
Molecule: ribosomal RNA, 233 nt
Filed under: uncultured bacterium
Lineage: Bacteria
Description: partial 16S ribosomal RNA
Rfam family: Bacterial small subunit ribosomal RNA
Source: RNAcentral